GGUACCGGCGCGAAUAGCCGCUUUCGCUUAGGCGGAAGAGGAAAGUCCGAACUCCAGAAGGCCAAGAUGCCGCGUAACUCGCGGGCUCUGCAUUGUAAUGGUGCAGGGACGGAAAGUGCCACAGAAAAUAUACCUCCGUGCCGCAAGGUACGGAAAGGGUGAAAAGGCGGGGUAAGAGCCCACCGGCCGCCAAGUAAUUGGCGAGCGCAUGGCAAACCCCAUCCGGAGCAAGGCCAAAUAGGGGGAAGUCAACAAAGUGGUGCCGCUUGUUUCCCCGGGUAGGCCGCAAGAGGUAUUGGGUGACCAAUAUCCUUAGAGAAAUGGCUAUAAGAACAGAAUUCGGCUUACGGCCCGGAACCAAAU
Molecule: non-coding RNA, 363 nt
Organism: Candidatus Firestonebacteria bacterium GWA2_43_8
Lineage: Bacteria; Candidatus Firestoneibacteriota
Source: Rfam